CGAUCAUACCAGCACUAAUGCACCGGAUCCCAUCAUAACUCUGCAGUUAAGCGUGCUUAGGCGAGAGUAGCACUAGGAUGGGCGGCCUCCUGGGAAGUCCUCGUUAGGUGGUCAUCUAAAUUAUCUUUCCAUCCCCGCAUAACUUUACGGAUGCGAUC
Molecule: ribosomal RNA, 158 nt
Filed under: Jatropha curcas
Lineage: Eukaryota; Viridiplantae; Streptophyta; Magnoliopsida; Malpighiales; Euphorbiaceae
Source: RNAcentral